AUGCUGCUAUGAAUCGCCUUUGUCCCAUGAUCCUGUGCUCACCAGUCCUACAAUUACCCUUUUCUUCCUAGACUUUAAAGUUGGGAUCAGACACAAGGAUACUUUGAUUUCUUUACCCUACACCAGCCACAGUAUCUGAUUUAAUAUAGGAGCUUAAUAUAACUUUAAUGAGGAGAUAAAUGGAUGAAGAAAGACAGGAGUGAAGAAAUGGAGUCACUGCAAAAAUAAAACAACAAAAGGAGCUUACCAGUGUGCAAGCCUCCGGAGCAGGGACAGGCGUUAGUAUAUUUUAUAUUUUUUAAUUGUGGUAGCAUACAAACCACAAGGUUGACUGUCUGUGCCAUCUUCAGGCGCACACUCAGGCUUCUCCAUCCUCAGUGCACACUCAGGUCUCCUCCAUCCUCAGUGCACACUCAGGUCUCCUCCAUCCUCAGUGCACACUCAGGUCUCCUCCAUCCUCAGGUGCACACUCAGAUCUCCUCCAUCCUCAGGCGCACACUCUGGUCUCCUCCAUCCUCAGUGCACACUCUGGUCUCCUCCAUCCUCAGGUGCACACUCAGGUCUCCUCCAUCCUCAGGCACACACUCAGGUCUCCUCCACCCUCAGGUGCACACUCAGGUCUCCUCCAUCCUCAGGCACACACUCUGGUCUCCUCCAUCCUCAGGCGCACACUCUGGUCUCCUCCAUCCUCAGUGCACACUCUGGUCUCCUCCAUCCUCAGGUGCACACUCAGGUCUCCCCCAUCCUCAGUGCACACUCAGGUCUCCUCCAUCCUCAGUGCCCACUCAGGCUUCUCCAUCCUCAGGUGCACACUCAGGUCUCCUCCAUCCUCAGGUGCACACUCAGGUCUCCUCCAUCCUCAGUGCACACUCAGGUCUCCUCCAUCCUCAGUGCACACUCAGGUCUCCUCCAUCCUCAGUGCACACUCAGGCUUCUCCAUCCUCAGGCACAUACUCAGGCUUCUCCAUCCUCAGGUGCACACUCAGGUCUCCUCUAUCCUCAGGCACACACUCAGGUCUCCUGCAUCCUCAGUGCACACUCAGGUCUUCUCCAUCCUCGGUGCAUGCUCAGGUGUCCUCCAUCCUCAGGUGCACACUCAGGUCUUCUCCAUUUUAAGUGCACACACUCAGAUAUUUGUGUCUGUGUUUCCCUGAUGAUCAGUGGUGGUGAACAUCUCUGCAUGCGCUUAUCAGCCACGGGUGAUACCUUAUAUUUUGACGAGGGGUUGAUGGUAGUUAGCCUCAUAGAUGGGCGUUUGAACUUUGUGGUCAAGCAACUCCGCUGCUGUGUUUCUGCCCUGAGUGGCUUGUUACUGUCUCCUCGUUACAUAUUGACCAGCUGUCAGUCUGGUGCCUGGAGCUUUGCACCUGUGAGCUCAUCCGAUUCUCA
RNAcentral lists this long non-coding RNA (1389 nucleotides) under Sus scrofa (pig). Its description in RNAcentral is "lncRNA (ENSSSCG00060020764.1)". The record is from RNAcentral. Lineage: Eukaryota; Metazoa; Chordata; Mammalia; Artiodactyla; Suidae.